RNA transcript from Cottoperca gobio, 514 nucleotides. It is a transcript of the gene named transcriptional coactivator YAP1-A-like, with no coding region annotated. The transcript is spliced from 3 exons. The record is from RefSeq and is a predicted model, not a curated record. Lineage: Eukaryota; Metazoa; Chordata; Actinopteri; Perciformes; Bovichtidae.
CCCUCCGUCAGUGGGAGGACGUGGGCACGUUGCAUAAUUAACAGCUGAGAUUCAGGAUCACAGAGCCGAGAGGAGACGUCCUCCAUCACUCACAAUGUCCUGUUAGAGGCGAUGAAGACAAGGCCAAGUCACACAGGAAGUAGAUCUUCCUUACGGCUGGGAGGAGGCCUUCACUGCAGACGGAGUGAAAUACUACAUCAAUCACAUGACCCAGACGACGUCCUGGAAACUUCCUGUGACGGCCCCGGGGCCCGCCCCCCCCCCACAGACCACCGAGGUGCAGGCCGAGCGGGACGGGGAGGCGAAGGAGCGGCGGCCCGGCUCCUCCAUCGAGACGGAGAUGUGAAACGCUGCAGUUUCAUUAAAGUCAUUAAAAAGUUUAGUUUCACCUUCUUUCAAACCCGCAGAACUUUAUUUAAAACGUACACUCCCACAUUUGAGGAAAUACGCUGGUCUGCUGUCUCGCACCUCGUGAGGACGUCACGUUCUAUAUUACGUCCUUUUAUGAAUUCAA